UACAGAGGGUGCAAGCGUUGCUCGGAUUUACUGGGCGUAAAGCGUACGCAGACGGUUUGGCAAGUCGGGCAUGAAAUCUCUCGGCUCAACCGGGAGAGGUUGUCCGAUACUUCCAGACUUGAGGGCAGUAGAGGGUGGUGGAAUUCCGGGUGUAGUGGUGAAAUGCGUAGAUAUCCGGAGGAACACCAGUGGCGAAAGCGGCCACCUGGACUGCACCUGACGCUGACACGCGAAAGCUAGGGGAGCGAACGGG
Molecule: ribosomal RNA, 253 nt
Filed under: uncultured bacterium
Lineage: Bacteria
Description: partial 16S ribosomal RNA
Rfam family: Bacterial small subunit ribosomal RNA
Source: RNAcentral